GAUGAAGAACGUAGCGAAAUGCGAUAAGUAAUGUGAAUUGCAGAAUUCAGUGAAUCAUCGAAUCUUUGAAUGCACAUUGCGCCCCCUGGUAUUCCGGGGGGCAUGCCUGUUCGAGCGUCAUUUCACCACUCAAGCCUCGCUUGGUAUUGGGCAAUGCGGUCCGCCGCGUGCCUCAAAUCGACCGGCUGGGUCUUCUGUCCCCUAAGCGUUGUGGAAACUAUUCGCUAAAGGGUGUUCGGGAGGCUACGCCGUAAAACAACCCCAUUUCUAAGGUUGACCUCGGAUCAGGUAGGGAUACCCGCUGAACUUAAGCAUAUCAAUAAGCGGGGA
RNAcentral lists this unclassified non-coding RNA (330 nucleotides) under soil metagenome. Its description in RNAcentral is "partial contains 5.8S ribosomal RNA, internal transcribed spacer 2, and large subunit ribosomal RNA". The stretch from base 1 to 120 matches the Rfam family "5.8S ribosomal RNA", at positions 35 to 154 of the family's 154-position model. The record is from RNAcentral.